Molecule: ribosomal RNA, 253 nt
Filed under: uncultured bacterium
Lineage: Bacteria
Description: partial 16S ribosomal RNA
Rfam family: Bacterial small subunit ribosomal RNA
Source: RNAcentral
UACAGAGGGUGCAAGCGUUGUCCGGAAUCACUGGGCGUAAAGCGCGCGUAGGCGGCCAGAUAAGUCCGGUGUGAAAGUCACAGGCUCAACCUGUGAAUGCCGCUGGAAACUGUCUGGCUAGAGUCCGGAAGGGGCGAGUGGAAUUCCUGGUGUAGCGGUGAAAUGCGCAGAUAUCAGGAGGAACACCAAUGGCGAAGGCAGCUCGCUGGAACGGUACUGACGCUGAGGCGCGAAAGCGUGGGGAGCGAACAGG